GGUGAUUGGCGGGGGGGGCGCUUGCAGUUACUCAGCUUGAUGGAGGCAGGAGGCCACAGCUGAUGCCAAUCCCGUGAACAAGGAGCCUCCUUAAAGGGCCCAGGAAGCACCAGCAGCCAGAAGCGCAGCCAUGUCUCUUCUCAAUCUGGUGUUCGCGGCUCUCUUGGUGUCGUCGACGGCUCGGGGGGGCGUUCACCGAAACCUGCAGGGCCAGUGGGUGAUCACCAAGGACGACCCGCAGUACGAAGACACAGACUUCCUACCCGAUGACGACAGCACGUGGCCCGACAGCACGUGGCCCGACAGCACGUGGCCCGACAGCACGUGGCCCGCGAGCACGCCGGGGGACGUCGCGCCUGUGACGCCGGAGGACUACAACUCGCUGACGACUCUAGAACCGCAUAGCAUGACGGGACAAGAGGGAGGCCUGGCGGUGUGGCAAAUCGUGCUGGUGGUGUCCGUCCUGCUGGUGUCCGUGGUGGGGUCUCUGAGCGUGGUCUACUACAUGUGCAUCUGGAGAGGAGGCCGGAUUCACUAUCAGCCGCAGAAGGUGGAUUAUACUUAAGAAACCUGACAAAUGCCAAUAAAAUGAACUUUGUGUAGAAACUGAAGGCUUCUUGAAUGUUUUUGACGGUUAAUGGACUCCAUGUGGGGCUUGUUGCCUCUCCUAAAUGUAACUUAAUCAGAAUUUGAACUUGCAUUAAUUAACACUCCUUAUGAAUACAUGUUUAUUCGAACAUUCGUUUCCCUUGUGGUGGUUUGCACGAUGUGUCAUUUAGGCAGAACAGUGGUUUAUUGGUCAGGUUAUCAACUGGAGUGUAAAUUAAACUGUUACUUGAGCUCUACUAUCACUUUUUGGGUGCUUUGAGUGGCCAAGCAUCUUCAUGUAAACCCUAUCAGAGUGUUCAUGAGCGGUACGCUCUAGUUUUAUAGUCUAGUGGUCAUCUUGACAAUGGCCUUUAAUCAUCCUGCAUAACUUUGCCCCAAGUGCUUUCUCAAAUAAGAUUGGAUUGUUUUUAAUUCUAAAGGGGCUUCUCUGAAACUUCAAUUCCCCUCUUGCUGUGCCCAGUUGUUAUAAUGGCCACUAGAGGUCCUCACCAUCACUAUUUAUGGCUUGCUCCACCUAUCUGGACACAACUGAAGAUAUGUUCACUUGAGCAACGCUUUCACAACAGAUUUGUUAAUACGUGGUGCCUCAAGCACCUGUUUAAUGACUCCAGUGACGGACAUUGGGUCAUUCAUGCAUUGGAUUUGAAAAGAUUAGCAAAAGUUAAAGAAAUCUGUCUGAAUUGAGAUUUCUGUAGAUCGCUGGCCACAUGAUUCAAGUACCGAUCCCUCCCUGUGAACGUCAAUGGUCUCAUCGUGAUGGGUGUAAAAGUUGCUGUCUACUGCACAUUUUUUGCUAUUUAAGGGAAAUUCCCAACUUGAUGUGUCAUUUUCUGAGGAAACCUUUUUAAAGAUUUUGUGUAUUCCAGCUAAGGCUCUUCUGACACUCAACCUAAGCUACCACUGUUGUUCGCUGCCUUUUGGCAAACAUUUUCCUCAGUUAUCUUCAUCACGACUGGCAGACCGCCCAACCGUUACCCAUAAAAGUAAUGUUUAAUUCCGUGUAAAGCAAGUAAGCUCGCAUCAAACCCACAACUGCUUAAAGUCCCCCCUUGAGCAAUAUCAGGUGGCAU
Long non-coding RNA from Gasterosteus aculeatus aculeatus (three-spined stickleback), 1679 nucleotides. The record is from Ensembl. NCBI's taxonomy places the organism in Eukaryota, Metazoa, Chordata, Actinopteri, Perciformes, Gasterosteidae.